AGGGAUCUAGCGCAGCUUGGUAGCGCCCUUGUUUUGGGUAAAAAAUGUCACGGGUUCCAAUCCUUUCAUCCCUACC
Molecule: transfer RNA, 76 nt
Filed under: Bruguiera sexangula
Lineage: Eukaryota; Viridiplantae; Streptophyta; Magnoliopsida; Malpighiales; Rhizophoraceae
Also listed under: 1 other name
Description: tRNA-Pro
Source: RNAcentral